Apis mellifera (honey bee) is the source of this 778-nucleotide long non-coding RNA. RefSeq lists it as uncharacterized. NCBI's taxonomy places the organism in Eukaryota, Metazoa, Arthropoda, Insecta, Hymenoptera, Apidae. The transcript has 4 exons. The record is from RefSeq and is a predicted model, not a curated record.
UCUUGCGAAACAUCAUCCGUCUCGGUUUGUCUCGCUGUAUCGGUGAAUGUAUCUCUCGAACGACGAUAAAUCAUCUUUCUUCCCGCGCGAUAAACACUUGGGUCGAUUCGCUCUGGAUAUGAUUUGGUAUACAAUUCUUGGUGAGAUGGUUGCGUGAUUUAUACAUAAGAAGAUGUUCUUUUGAUAUUUUGAAUGUUAAUAAUUUGAAAGGAAGAUAAUUAAGUUGGGAAAACAAUAAAAUUCUAAUUGGCUGCUAAAAGAUUGUAGAUAGUUUAAGAAUAUGAUAGAAGUUGUGAUUGAAUUAUAUACUGCUUAUCUGUGAUAACUAUGGCAAGAGCAUGACAUUUAUUCAUUCCCUGCAAGAAGAAUAUAGAAAGUGGAAUUGCUCGAAACAAUCUCUGCUUUUUAUCCGAUUUUAAGAAUGCACGUUGAACUGAUUCUUAGCCAGGAACUACUUAAAACUUGUACCAUCUACGGAGAAUACUUUGCAGAAUAAUAUCUUUUCUAGAGAUAUUUAAAUGGAAGAAAAAGGGAAGGAAAAGUUCUCGUCGUGAUAAUUCUUUAAGUUGCGAUAAAUAAACAAUCAGUUUUGUAAUAUUUAUUUUAAAAGGGAUCCUUCUUUUAUACAUUUACGUCUGGUCUCUGAUUAUGAGUGGGAUUGCAAGGAUUAAACUGACGACAGGGUGCUUUCCCACUGGAUUAGACACGUAGCAGACGGUAUUGUCAUAUAGAUUUCGUACAUUCAAUAAUAAAAGAUAAAUUUGUACUUCCUUAUCGA